Molecule: long non-coding RNA, 565 nt
Filed under: Carica papaya (papaya)
Lineage: Eukaryota; Viridiplantae; Streptophyta; Magnoliopsida; Brassicales; Caricaceae
Description: long non-coding RNA (CPAP_LNC008717)
Source: RNAcentral
AUGGGUUGGUUCAACUUUAGAUAAACCCAUUUAAAAAAGACUAAGACUUUACCUAAAAAUUUUGGACUAUAACGAGUCUCAUAGACUAAUUAUUGAUUGCUUCAAACGCCAUCACCAAUAAUAGCUCUCUGUUUUUCCAUAUUCUUGAUGCUUAAACGUGAUAGGUUCGUGGGUGAAGAUUAGUGGAAAAUGAAGCUCAAAUGGAAAUGGAAAUGGUAAUGGAAUCUUGUAUAAUACAGUCAAGAUAUGAUAUUUUAUAAUAUGUUUUUAUAUCCCCAAGCAAUAAAAUAAAAUACCCAUUUCAUUUUGUUCUGUAACUCAUAAAAAAGAUGACAACUUGGGGGAUGAAUUUCCAUGGAGGAAAGAGAAACUGAGUUGAUGAAAGAAAAGGAUUUUGUCUGGCAAGCAUGAAACUACCAGUCAUAAUGUAUUUUUAUAUCCCCAAACAAUAAAAAACAAAAUACCCAUUUCAUUUUGUUCUGUAACUCAUGAAAAAGACGACAACUUGGGGGAUGAAUUUGCAUGGAGGAAAGAGAAAUUGAGUUGAGGAAAUAUAAGGGUUUUG